Molecule: long non-coding RNA, 480 nt
Filed under: Daucus carota (carrot)
Lineage: Eukaryota; Viridiplantae; Streptophyta; Magnoliopsida; Apiales; Apiaceae
Description: long non-coding RNA (DCAR_LNC002050)
Source: RNAcentral
GAAUUUUGCUCGUAGCUAAUAUGGAACUUCAACUGAAGAUGGAGUGAGCUGUUUUGAUAGUGAAGCCUCAUCAGAUGAGUAUUAGCUAUGGCACUUGAAGCUCUCGCACUUGUAUGUCAAAACAAGGAGCUCUUUCUAUUCGUAAGAAGAGAAUUGGUGAGAGGACUACCUCAUCUGGAAUUCAAUAUGGAUGAAGCUCAUGAGGUAUGUCAAUAGGGAAGUCGAAGGAGCAUCGCACAGAAGCAAAGAUAUGACUAACAUUACUGAGCCGCUUCAGAUGAUACGUAUGGAUUUCUACGGAUCAGCUAAUGUCAUGUCUGCAAACAAAGCUAGAUAUCUUUUUGCGAUGAUCAUUGACUGCUCUAGAUUCUUUCGUGUUGUUCAUAUGUGUUCGAAGGACAAGAUGUCACAAAUGAAGGUUGAUCAAGAUGAACCCUGAUCAUUGAUAAAUCCAGAAAGACACCAUUCUUUCCGGUGGCC